GCAACCCAAUAAAUGGAGAACUGGGCUGCCAAGUUUAGAAUGAGACCAAGAGCAAGAUUGACUUGAUGCUGUGUUGGUAAAAUUAGGCACCAUGGGUCCCCAAGUGACCCUCACCUUUCUAAGAUUAAGAGCAGGUCUGCCCUCUAGAACCUGAAGUGGAACUGCACUUAGAAAUGUGCACCAAGUGUGCUGGACCUCCUGGGACUGGUGGAUUUAAGGACAGAAUCAACAAGGGCAUUGAAGAGACUUGCUUCCACCAGAAUGAGUGUGAACAUGUGACCCAGACUGGCCAAUCAGAUUACCUCAUCCCUCUAAGGUUGUUCAAGCAUGGGCACAAGAUUCAGUGAAUUCUCUUAUAAAGAAACAAAUCAGAGCAAAAUAAGAGCAGGACAAAGAACUCUGUUUGCAGGAACGCUCUGAGCGUUGGCUUCUUCGGCAUGAACGCCAUUUCCACGUGUGCUGAACUGCUCUUGUCGAAGUCACACAGAAUAAUAUACGGGAUGGUGCCAUUUUCGAACUAACAGUCUACAAAAAUUUGUCUACGUGAUCUGCCAUCUCUGGCAGUUUUAGAAAGAAAAACACUAACACCUGGGAAGAGUAUGGACAGCAUACUUUGGCUUCUUCAAAAGCAGCCCUCAGCAAAGGGAUGGAGACCCUGUUCCCUGUUUGGUAUAGAUGGUGAGGUUGUGAAUUAGGAGUGAAACACAAAAAAAGUGGAUUUCUUCCUAUUUUCUGAUCACACUGAACCUUGAGUCACUGAAAUUUUCUAGUCCAGUGAUUUCUCCCAGAUACUGGCAAUGGGUUAACUGUGUGUACGUGUAUUCACUUGCCUUCCAUUGGAGAACCAACCAAUGCUAUGUAGCUCUAUAUUUUGACAAGACCCCCUUCAGAGUGUACCCCAACCAGGACCUCAUUCGGAAUUCCUCUGUGAGUGAGUGUGCAUCAUUAAGAUGAACCUGCUGAACCGCCAGAAUCCUGAUGGUGAUGAGAAGGUGCUGCCUUCUAAGAGGUCCAGAUGUCUUGAAAACCAGAAAAGAUCCAAAUUUGAAAUGAUGGAGAUGCAAAAUGCAAGGCCCUCAAGAUCACAGGAAUGGCAGAACCUGGACAUCAUCAAGGGUGCCAGACGAUGCCCAGUAACCCAGCAGUGUCUUUGAGGACUAUACAAGAAGAUACUUUGUCACUGAUGGAAGCACCUGCCUCAGGCUCACUGGAACAAAAUCUGUGGCUUCUCUUGUUUGAUCUAAUUCCCGCUGAUCUUUCUGGUGUCUUCUGGUGCUGUUUGUACACCUUUGGCUCCUUAGGAUUCAGAAUCACCCUCAACACUGGAAAGCCUACAGCUAGCGGCCACACCUCAGCAAAAGUGAAGACUACUAGUUUCUGUUGCUUGUUCAUGAGAUCUUUUUCACCUCUUUUGUGAGCAUCAAAGAGAUUGAAAUGAUUUGGACUACCUUCAUUCUCAAAAGCAAUGCACGACUGUAGCUGUGAUAGAGACUGGAGGACCACAAAGAUAUUCACUACCUGCUCUUUUAUAGAAAGUUGGCAACUCUUACUUUAGAGAAUUCACUUGGAUGGUUAACUGACUUGGUACAUGAUGAAAACCCUUUGGAGAAGCCACUCUGCCUCUGCUCUUGCUCUUGGGGUGUUCCUGAGUGAUCUUAAGCAAACGUGCUUCUUAUCAAGGAAAACUGAAGAAUGGUCAUUCCAGUUUUGAAAAGCAAAGCAAAGCUACUGAUGCCACAGGACAUUCAUAAUAAUGACAGUGACAAGACCUAAAGCCUGAG
This 1781-nucleotide long non-coding RNA is filed under the name Equus caballus (horse). RNAcentral's name for it is "lncRNA (ENSECAG00000035518.3)". The record is from RNAcentral. Lineage: Eukaryota; Metazoa; Chordata; Mammalia; Perissodactyla; Equidae.